GUAUGUGUGUGAGUGAGACUACAGUAGGUGUGAGUGAGACUACACUAGGUGUGAGUGAGACUACAGUAUGUGUGUGAGUGAGACUACAGUAUGUGUGUGAGUGAGACUACAGUAGGUGUGAGUGAGACUACAGUAUGUGUGAGUGAGACUACAGUAUGUGUGUGAGUGAGACUACAGUAUGUGUGUGAGUGAGACUACAGUAUGUGUGUGAGUGAGACUACAGUGUGUGUGUGAGUGAGACUACAGUAUGUGUGAGGGAGACUACGGUAUGUUUGAUUGAGACUACAGUAUGUGUGAGGGAGACUACAAUAUGUGUGAGUGAGAUUGUAGUAUGUGUGAUAUGUGUGAGUGAGACUACAGUAUGUGUGAGUGAGACUACAGUAUGUGUGAGUAAGACUACAGUUUGUGUGAUUAAGACUACAGUAGGUGUGAGUAAGACUACAGUAUGUGUGAGUGAGACUACAGUAUGUGUGAGUAAGACUACAGUUUGUGUGAGUAAGACUACAGUAGGGGGUGAAUAAGAAUACAGGAUGUGUGAGUAAGACUACAGUAUGUGUGAGUGAGACUACAGUAUGUGUGAGUGAGACUACAGUAUGUGUGAGUGAGACUACAGUAGGUGUGAGUGAGACUACAGUAUGUGUGAGUGAGACUACAGUAUGUGUGAGUGAGACUACAGUAUGUGUGAGUGAGACUACCAUAUGUGUGUGAGUGAGACUACAGUAUGUGUGAGUGAGACUACAGUAUGUGUGAGUGGGACUAUAGUAUGUGUGAGUGAGACUACAGUAUGUG
Molecule: long non-coding RNA, 789 nt
Organism: Oncorhynchus tshawytscha (Chinook salmon)
Lineage: Eukaryota; Metazoa; Chordata; Actinopteri; Salmoniformes; Salmonidae
Source: Ensembl